GACGAACGCUGGCGGCGUGCCUAAUACAUGCAAGUAGAACGCACAGUUUAUACCGUAGCUUGCUACACCAUAGACUGUGAGUUGCAACGGGGGAGUAACGCGUAGGUAACCUGCCUGGGAGCGGGGGAUAACCAUUGGAAACGAUAGCUAAUACCGCAUAAUAUUGAUUAUUGCAUGAAAAAUUAUUGAAAGAUGCCAUUGCAUCACUUCCAGAUGGACCUGCGUUGUAUUAGCUAGUAGGGGAGGUAACGGCUCACCUAGGCGACGAUACAUAGCCGACCUGAGAGGGUGAUCGGCCACACUGGGACUGAGAUACGGCCCAGACUCCUACGGGAGGCAGCAGUAGGGAAUCUUCGGCAAUGGACGAAAGUCUGACCGAGCAACGCCGCGUGAGUGAAGAAGGUUUUCGGAUCGUAAAGCUCUGUUGUAAGAGAAGAACGGGUGUGAGAGUGGAAAGUUCACACUGUGACGGUAUCUUACCAGAAAGGGACGGCUAACUACGUG
Molecule: ribosomal RNA, 504 nt
Filed under: uncultured bacterium
Lineage: Bacteria
Description: partial 16S ribosomal RNA
Rfam family: Bacterial small subunit ribosomal RNA
Source: RNAcentral